This 301-nucleotide ribosomal RNA is filed under the name uncultured bacterium. RNAcentral's name for it is "partial 16S ribosomal RNA". It matches the Rfam family "Bacterial small subunit ribosomal RNA", at positions 509 to 807 of the family's 1533-position model. The record is from RNAcentral.
CAGUCGCCGCGGUAAUACGAAGGGUGCAAGCGUUAAUCGGAAUUACUGGGCGUAAAGCGUGCGUAGGCGGUGAGUUAAGUCCGUUGUGAAAGCCCUGGGCUCAACCUGGGAAUUGCAGUGGAUACUGGGUCACUAGAGUGUGGUAGAGGAUAGUGGAAUUUCCGGUGUAGCAGUGAAAUGCGUAGAGAUCGGAAGGAACAUCUGUGGCGAAGGCGACUAUCUGGGCCAACACUGACACUGAGGCACGAAAGCGUGGGGAGCAAACAGGAUUAGAUACCCCGGUAGUCCCUGUCUCUUAUAC